GAUGAAGAACGUAGCGAAAUGCGAUAAGUAAUGUGAAUUGCAGAAUUCAGUGAAUCAUCGAAUCUUUGAACGCACCUUGCGCCUUUUGGUAUUCCGAAAGGCACACCUGUUUGAGCGUCAUGAAUACCUCAAUCUCCAUCUUUUCUUCGGAUUGAUGGGUGACUUGGAUGUUGAGCCCUGCUGGUAUGCUAUAUCAGCUGGCUUUAAACUUAUUAGCCGGCUCUGUACUGGAUCGGUUUGACUCGACGUGAUAAUAUUAUCGUUGAGGAUGCAUGUCUCAUGCAGCCGGAAAGUAUCAAAGCAGCUUCUAGCUUGCCUUUAGUGCACUUUUACAUUUUAGACCUCAGAUCAGGUUGGACUACCCGCUGAACUUAAGCAUAUCAAUAAGCGGAGGA
RNAcentral lists this unclassified non-coding RNA (395 nucleotides) under soil metagenome. RNAcentral's name for it is "partial contains 5.8S ribosomal RNA, internal transcribed spacer 2, and large subunit ribosomal RNA". The stretch from base 1 to 120 matches the Rfam family "5.8S ribosomal RNA", at positions 35 to 154 of the family's 154-position model. The record is from RNAcentral.